GGGCGGAUAGCUCAGCUGGGAGAGCACCUGCCUUACAAGCAGGGGGUCACAGGUUCGAGCCCUGUUUCGCCCACCA
This 76-nucleotide transfer RNA is filed under the name Firmicutes bacterium HGW-Firmicutes-13. RNAcentral's name for it is "tRNA-Val". It matches the Rfam family "tRNA". From Rfam's summary of the family: Transfer RNA (tRNA) molecules are approximately 80 nucleotides in length. Lineage: Bacteria; Bacillati; Bacillota. The record is from RNAcentral.